RNAcentral lists this transfer RNA (75 nucleotides) under Salmonella enterica subsp. enterica serovar Tennessee. RNAcentral describes it as "tRNA-Gln". It matches the Rfam family "tRNA". From Rfam's summary of the family: Transfer RNA (tRNA) molecules are approximately 80 nucleotides in length. Their secondary structure includes four short double-helical elements and three loops (D, anti-codon, and T loops). The record is from RNAcentral. RNAcentral also lists the same sequence under 1 other name. Lineage: Bacteria; Pseudomonadati; Pseudomonadota; Gammaproteobacteria; Enterobacterales; Enterobacteriaceae.
UGGGGUAUCGCCAAGCGGUAAGGCACCGGAUUCUGAUUCCGGCAUUCCGAGGUUCGAAUCCUCGUACCCCAGCCC